This 886-nucleotide ribosomal RNA is filed under the name Hexagrammos otakii (fat greenling). Its description in RNAcentral is "partial 16S rRNA". The stretch from base 191 to 886 matches the Rfam family "Bacterial large subunit ribosomal RNA", at positions 566 to 1685 of the family's 2925-position model. The record is from RNAcentral. Lineage: Eukaryota; Metazoa; Chordata; Actinopteri; Perciformes; Hexagrammidae.
UGCCUAACAGCUAGCCCACCCAAACAAUUUCAACAAACCCCUGUUAAUAACCCCUAAGUACCCCAGUAUUUAUUUUAAACAAACCAUUUUUCCCCCUUAGUAUAGGCGAUAGAAAAGGGCCCACGGCGCAAUAGAGAAAGUACCGCAAGGGAACGCUGAAAGAGAAGUGAAACAACCCAGUAAAGCCUAAAAAAGCAGAGAUCUAAACUCGUACCUUUUGCAUCAUGAUUUAGCAAGUGUAACCCAAGCAAAGCGUACUUUAGUUUGACGUCCCGAAACUAGGUGAGCUACUCCAAGACAGCCUAUCAAUAGGGCGUACCCGUCUCUGUGGCAAAAGAGUGGGGAGAGCUUUGAGUAGAGGUGACAAACCUACCGAACCUAGUUAUAGCUGGUUGUCCAAGAAAUGAAUAGAAGUUCAGCCUUUCAGCUUCUCUUUUCACCUUAGUCUGACCCCUAUUGAUACAUUAAAGAAACCGAAAGAGUUAGUCAAAGGGGGUACAGCCCCUUUGAAUCAAGACACAACUUUACCAGGAGGGUAAAGAUCAUAAUAAUUAAAGCUAAAUGUUCUGGUGGGCCUAAAAGCAGCCAUCCCCUUAGAAAGCGUUAAAGCUCAGACAUGCGACCAUACUUCUUAUCCUGAUCACUUAAUCUUACCCCCCUAACCGUACUGGACCAUCCCAUGCCAACAUGGGAGUGACUAUGCUGAAAUGAGUAAUAAGAGAGCUACCGGCUCUCUCCCUGCACACGUGUAUAUCGGAACGGACAACCCACCGAACCUUAACGGCCCCAAAUAAAGAGGGCAGUGGAUGUUAGACCAAAAAACUAGAAAAAUAUCCAAAAACCAACCGUUAAACCCACACAGGUGUGCCCCCAGGGAAAGACUAAA